RNAcentral lists this ribosomal RNA (804 nucleotides) under uncultured Perkinsea. RNAcentral describes it as "SSU rRNA". It matches the Rfam family "Eukaryotic small subunit ribosomal RNA", at positions 488 to 1310 of the family's 1831-position model. The record is from RNAcentral. Lineage: Eukaryota; Perkinsozoa.
GGGCUUCAUAGUCUUGCAAUUGGAAUGAGUAGAUUUUAAAUCUCUCUACGAGUAACAAUUGGAGGGCAAGUCUGGUGCCAGCAGCCGCGGUAAUUCCAGCUCCAAUAGCGUAUAUUAAAGUUGUUGCGGUUAAAAAGCUCGUAGUUGAAUUUCUGCCUCGGACGACCUACCCACCUACGGGUGCGUGUUAGUGUUGACCUGGGCAUCCUCCUAGUUGCGGCCACCCUUCACUGGGUGAUUCGCUCUAGGACUUUUACUUUGAGGAAAUUAGAGUGUUUCAAGCAGGCUUUCGCCUUGAAUAUAUUAGCAUGGAAUAAUAAUCUAGGACUUCGGUUCUAUUUUGUUGGUUCUGGACCGAAGUAAUGAUUAACAGGGACAGUCGGGGGCAUUCGUACUCAACAGUCAGAGGUGAAAUUCUUGGAUUUGUUGGAGACGAACUACUGCGAAAGCAUUUGCCAAGGAUGUCUUCAUUGAUCAAGAACGAAAGUUAGGGGAUCGAAGACGAUCAGAUACCGUCCUAGUCUUAACCAUAAACGAUGCCGACUAGCGAUUGAGGGUUGUUUAUUGACACCCUCAGCAGCUCGUGAGAAAUCAAAGUCUUUGGGUUCCGGGGGGAGUAUGGUCGCAAGGCUGAAACUUAAAGGAAUUGACGGAAGGGCACCACCAGGAGUGGAGCCUGCGGCUUAAUUUGACUCAACACGGGAAAACUCACCAGGUCCAGACAUGGGAAGGAUUGACAGAUUGAUAGCUCUUUCUUGAUCCUAUGGGUGGUGGUGCAUGGCCGUUCUUAGUUGGUGGAGUGAU